RNAcentral lists this ribosomal RNA (253 nucleotides) under uncultured bacterium. Its description in RNAcentral is "partial 16S ribosomal RNA". It matches the Rfam family "Bacterial small subunit ribosomal RNA", at positions 524 to 776 of the family's 1533-position model. The record is from RNAcentral.
UACAGAGGGGGCAAGCGUUGUUCGGAAUUACUGGGCGUAAAGGGCGCGUAGGCGGCCUGCUAAGUCGAACGUGAAAUCCCCGGGCUCAACCCGGGAACUGCGUCCGAUACUGGCAGGCUUGAAUCCGGGAGAGGGAUGUGGAAUUCCCAGUGUAGUGGUGAAAUACGUAGAGAUUGGGAAGAACACCAGUGGCGAAGGCGGCUAUCUGGACGGUUUCUGACACUAAGACUCGAAAGCGUGGGGAGCAAACAGG